This 439-nucleotide ribosomal RNA is filed under the name uncultured bacterium. Its description in RNAcentral is "bacterial SSU rRNA". It matches the Rfam family "Bacterial small subunit ribosomal RNA", at positions 28 to 507 of the family's 1533-position model. The record is from RNAcentral.
GACGAACGCUGGCGGCGUGCUUAACACAUGCAAGUCGAGCGAGUGGCGAACGGGUGAGUAACGCGUGAGGAACCUGCCUCAAAGAGGGGGACAACAGUUGGAAACGACUGCUAAUACCGCAUAAGCCCACGACCCGGCAUCGGGUAGAGGGAAAAGGAGCAAUCCGCUUUGAGAUGGCCUCGCGUCCGAUUAGCUAGUUGGUGAGGUUAACGGGCCCACCAAGGCGACGAUCGGUAGCCGGACUGAGAGGUUGAACGGCCACAUUGGGACUGAGACACGGCCCAGACUCCUACGGGAGGCAGCAGUGGGGAAUAUUGCACAAUGGGGAAACCCUGAUGCAGCGACGCCGCGUGGAGGAAGAAGGUCUUCGGAUUGUAAACUCCUGUUGUUGAGGAAGAUAAUGACGGUACUCAACAAGGAAGUGACGGCUAACUACGUG